UGACGGGUGCUCUGGAGGGGUGGGGUUGCCGUCAGCCAAUCAACGCAAAGCGGGUACGAGACCCCGCCCCCGCGAGGGGCGUAGCCGGGGCGGCAGUGGGCGGUACCGCACCUGUCAGGUUUUAGGGCCGCGCUCCCGGCGGCGCCUCGGGUUGGGCUGCGCUCAUGGACGGGAGCGUCCGGGGCGUUCUGCCUUUGUCCUCUCGAGAGCGGGCGGCUCCGGCCCCCUCAGGCCGCCGCCGAGGUGAUCACGGGUGUCCGGCCUGGGCGGCUGCAGCUGCUGGGCCCCGGGAGCUGGGAACUUGUGGGAGCACCGGCGGCGUGUUCUGGAGUGUUUGGUUUUUGGAGCACAAGUGUGAUGAGGAGCGGCUGAGGGAACUGGGGCUGUUUAUCCAGGAGAAAAGGAGGCUGAGGGGAGACCUUAUUGCUCUCUACAACUACCUGAAAGGAGGUUGUAGCACGGAGGGUGUUGGGCUCUUCUCCCCAGUGGCAAGUGACAGGAUGAGACAAAAUGACCUCAGUUUGUGUCAGUGGAGGUUUAGGUUGAAUAUUAGGAAAAAAUUCUUCACGUAAAGGGUUUUCAGGCAUUGGAACAGGCUGCCCAGGGAAGUGGUGGAGUCACCAUCCCUGGAGGUGUUUAAAAGGUGCUUAGACAAUGUUCUUAGGAACGUGGUUUAGUGCUAGUUAGGGUAGGUUAUGGUUGGACUCAACAAUCCUGAGGGUCUCUUCCAAACGAAAUUAUUCUGUGAUUCUAUGAUAGACAUAAGGUUGUGACAGCAGCAGUUUUGUGUUCCAGAACUUAAUCUUUGUGUCCCUGUGUUAUCAAAUUAUUUCCUUCUGUGGCACCAUCUUCUGGAAGCAUCUGAAAUCUAUCAUUUGUCUCAUGAGAUAGGCUUUCAUUAAAUGAAAUCAGCAUCGUGAAUGAGGGGCAUGUGAUGCACCGCUACUUUUGUGGUGAACUUAAUCUUCUCCAGAAGUCUGGCAGCCUGAAGGUUCGGUGUGGCAGGGUUUUGCUGUGCUUACAGCUUGGCCUGUGGGCAAUGAGUGCUAAUUUGGCUUCUGUGCACACCUUGAGUCACAGGCAGUUGCAAACUGAGAGUUUCUUUGUGGUAAUCCAGAGCAUCCUGCUAUUGUCAGGGUCUGACAGUGCAAAUGCAUAAUUUGAGUUCAUCCUGUGAAAUGCCUGCUGUUGGUUAAGGUUAAACAUAAGGAUUAUCUGUUGGUACUGUUUAAUCGUUAAUCAUCCACACCAGUUAGGAGCAUUGCCUGUUAGGAGUCCCACAUACAGUUUUGCAUAUAUAUUUGCUAUUAAAAUGUCUGUGGUUAUGCAGCAAGUGAAAACUACUAAAAAUAUACUUUACUUAUAAACUGGGGGAAGAUCUAAUCAUAUGGGAUGUUUCAGAAAGUAAAACACCCAUAUGAAAAGAUGUAUAAUAUGGUUUCUUUACCUACUUAUAAUGCCUUCUACUUGGUUUUUAGAAUUUGAGUUUGGUGGCAGCAAAAUGGAUCCUUGAGCCUCCGUGGGUUUAUUCCCUUCUUAACAGACAUGUCCUACACAGGGUAACCACUGCUUGGUAAUGAGGAAAGCCCCUGCAAGCCCUGUGUGUCCCUUUACUCGUGAGAGCAGGGCUAUGAACCUGAAGUGUAAGUGCUUGCUGCACCAGUUCUUUUCUGUGCUUGUUGCCCUGUAGGCAGGUUUUCUUCUUGGUGAGACUUCAAUUCUACAAGCGCUGUCUCUGCUGUCCUCUCAUCAAGAGAAGCAGCUGGGUGCCUCAUACGUGAUACCCUGAGUUGAUGUUCUGACUCUGUGUUAGGAACAUUAACUGGAGAGGUUGUGUUAUUUGCUUAGUAAGUAGGAAAUAUAUGGUAUUUUGUAAAUGUUACAGGAAGAAUUGUGAAAUCCCUGUAGCUUUCAAGACUAGGCAGCAUUAAUGAGCUGGAACAUGUGCUGUGUAAUUUAUGGUAGAAAAGAAUUUGCUGAUCAGGUUUCUAUUUAUUUCUGAGAAAGCUAAACUGGAAGUUUUGUUUGAUUACAAAUCUGCCUGUAAUGCAGCAGAAGACCCAGAAGAUGGGAUGUACGUAUUCUUUUAGAGUGGAAUGCUGUGAAUCAUGGCUAGGUUUGUGUGGAGGGAGUCCUCACCUGUUGAAAUUUGUGGGAUCUGGCUUGUAUUAUAACUGCUCUGGAGCCUUCCCUGCACAUAUCUGUGCAGAUGUGCUAUAGCUCUUCUUGUCCAGGUCCUUCAGCAAUUUUCCAGAAGAAAUAGGUAUGCCUGGCAAGCUCCUUUACUAAGAUAUUUUAUAUCUUUCUCUUUUACCCUUUUUCCCAAUAUUAAUACAUGCUACAAUCCCAGAGGAGCACUUUUUUGUGACAGGUCAUGCGUGGAGAUAACACCAUUGUAUAACUAGUCCUUGCUCCACUGACGCUCUUGAAUCAAAUUUUUGAAAAGUCAUUCAAUAUCGGCUGAAAGCCACAGAAAUGAAAGGUUUGUACCCUGGAGCUCUGAGGCGGCUGUGAAAAAUAUACAAAUUUAGCUCCUUUUUCAGUUGAUCAAUUUAAGUCAUGAUGCUUAAAGGUAAGCUGUGAAACUUUGCUGCUGCAAGCUGUUGAAACAAAACCUAGGUGCUGUCUCUGUCCUGUUUUAGCUCACAAAAUCAAAGAUGGAGUAUUGUUUACCUUGUGAAAAAGAUGCACAGGAGGAUGACAUGAAUAAAAUUACAGUUACAAAUGAAGCUUUUGCUGUUUUUCUUUUAACACAGGAGCAUGGGGACAUUCCGUGAAAAGGGAAGUAAAAUCAGAAUAGCGUAAGGCCUUUCCUUUAAAGGAAGAAACUUGUUUGUGCCUUAGGCUUUUGGUCCAUCUUUUGCUAUAGUCUCUAGACUUUUGCCAAGGCUGCUUUGCUUAUCAGACUUUCUGACGUAUUGGGUAAUCCAGCUGUACAAUUUACUGUCAUAGGAAGCAACUGCGGCAAAAUGAGGCCACUCACCCUAGCAGGGUUCAAAGAAAGACUGGGCAUUUUCAUGGGACACAAAACUAUGUGCAGUUAAUGCAAACAAAGUGUCCCAGAAGGAAAAGACUUCCUGCACUGGACUUGAAGCUGAGCUCUGACUUUUAGACACUGAGACAAAUAAUUCGUGGACACUGGCAGUUCUACAUCUGGUCUGUUAGGGAUUGGUAUCUUCAUCUGCAGUGUGGUAUUGGCAGCAGCUAAAGACAGUACUAUCCUAUAGGCUACACUAUAGUUCAAUCUAUUCAAUUUUUUCCAGAUUUUUAAGACAACUUGCAUAUAUGCAAGUUUGUUUAUCAUGGCUUGUUCCUGGAAUAGCACUGGGGUUAUGCUUCAAGACGAGUAGAUUUCUAGGAGUGAAUGAAAAAAGCACAAUACCUUGAGCUUAUUCUGCUUUUUUUUUCAUGUCAUUGUUGUGAGUUUUGUGUAUUUAUUUUCUUUUUGAGGAUAAAAUAAACAAAAAAACAAGACCUUAUUCUGUUGUUUAAUGAACAAAACCUUCAUAUGCUGAUCAUUAUUUCAGCACAGAUGUCUGUAACUCAAACUCUAUGAAUCUGCCCAUGCAGCUCUGUUUUUGAAUUGCUGAGAACAACUGUGUGGGUGGAUUUAGAACAUGAAAUUGCUGUAUGUGCUUAUGUUUUGUUUAUGCAGUACUCAUUUUUAAGAGUACUAGACUGGAUUUGCUUAAUAUUUGCUUUGUGUGUCUCUGUGUGCGUAUACAUAAUAUAUACAAACCCCCAAACUAGAAGAUGAUCGCUAAGCAUGAGCUCUAUUAAUGCAAGAGUUUGUGAUGCUGUAAACAUGUUGCAUUUGAAUCAUGUUAUCAACUGAAAGAAAUAAAGUCAGUCUAUGCACAGAAUAAGGUGGUAGUUGCUUCUAAAACUUGUGCCUGAAUUUGUUGGUGCUUUGUUGCCCCUGUGUACUGAUACAGCACAGGUGACUCUUGGAAACAGACUGCUAUUGUCCACUAAGAGAUUUCUCUUUGACAGACUUAACAAUACUGAAAAUUAAUAAAAAUAGUUUUUAAUUAUAAAACUGUUCAUGCAGUUACAGUAUUAAUAUAAAUUGAAGCAAAGUUUUUACUAUAUGUCUUUCUCGUAACAAAAUUGUUGCCUCUUCAAUCCCAUCUCCCUCAGAAAAAAGAGGCAGCCAUUUAUGUCUUCUUUAUGAAUUUAGAAAUAAUGCCACAUUUCACUUCUGUUGAAUGGGCACUUUGUCUUGACAUAAGGCUUUUACAUGUGAAAUACUUGAUAGCAAUAGUUACUUAAUAGCAAUUUUGGCAAUAAGGCCAUUGUGUUAACUGUAGUAUGAUGGGCAUCAGGAAUCUUUUUAAAGACGUUGAUUUUUAUUAGGGGUAUCUACCUCUUGUAUAGUUUUAUUUCCAGGUUCUCAGGCAGAACUUGUACGAGAAAGUAAUAGAAAAUUUGACGAUCUAAUUACUAUAAAGCCUAAUGAUUGCAUAAUGCUUCUGGGCCAAUAAGUUUUGCUUCUUAUAGGCAGUUUAUCUGCAGUUACAUGUUACCGGUAUAAAAGCAGAACGGAAACUGUGAAAGUAACAGUUUAUUUUAGGUUAGCAAUGAAGUAUACUUUUAUUCUCCAGUCUCCAGAUGUAGAAAACAUUAUAAGAGCCUACAGUAAAUUUUGCUUUCACUACGUUUCAGCUUUGUUGUCUUUGCUUUUUUUCCUGCUUUUAUUUUCAGAAUUGCAGAAGUGAAGGUAGAUUUUUCAUCUAAUUUAGACAUCAGUGUUGGCUGUCAGUAAAAUAAUUACAUAAAAGCCCUAUUUAUUCUACUUUUGAGAAAGUAAUCUUGCUAUCUCUAUGGCUUGUAACACUUCCCACUUUUGAAAUGCUGUACUGGAAGGCUGGAUACUUUGCCUCUUGCUGUUGACUUUGGUAGGGUCAACCACAGCUCGAAGUCUCUGUCUGCUUUCUGCUGUGACAUUUUUUUUUUCUCUCAAUGGCAUUACCUUAUUCUUCCUGAACUUUUGCUUUAAGCAUUAUACAGCUAGCGAAAUAGGUUUCCAAAUAAAGUGAGCAUUAUCUCUGGACAUCUAGAGGUAAAAUGUGUCUGCAAGGUUGUCUGUUUUCACACUGCUACCAAAGUCUUCCUUUACCACCUCCUUCUUGCUCUCUAGGCUGUAAGUGUAAUGUUUAUUUUUCUCAGAUCUAUCGUAGCUACUGGGAGGAUGAUGCAUUGUCCUUCUAUUUAAUUUCUUCUUGGCAGCCUUUUCAUAUGCAAAUCCACAGACUGGAGUCCAGAGGCAACCACAUUCUCAGUCCAGUAUUGUAACAAACUUCCCUGAAUAAGGCAAGAUUUAUAGACAAAAAACCCCUCCUCUGCGCCUGUGUUAGAGGAAAUGUUAUGUACAUUUGUAUAGUGUGAAGCAGAGAGUAUUGUGAUGGGGUGAGGCAAGAUCCCAUGCACGGUUUCUCAGUAUUAAUAACUAAAACACAGUUGUCUUGGAAAUGCACGGGGCAAUUUAUGCAGGUGGCUUGACUUGAAUACCUAAUUAUUUUGCUUUCUUGGUCCAACGCCCACUUGUUAGUCAUUCGUACUUAAUUUUAGUUAUUUUCAGUUACGUUUCAGAACUUAGGCUUAAUUUACCCUUUCCCAACAGCGACACUGACCCGCGUUUACUCUAACAGCUCCUUGGCAGAGACAAUAAUCAAUGAACAUGCAGGAUUGCCAACACCAGCUGUUCAAAAAUCAUGAGCUUGGCUUUAAUAAUUGGUCGAUUUAUUCAUGUUUUAGCACUUGAUCAUGUUUUACCACUUCUCCCUCAUGCCUCAGGGAUAUAAGGAACAUGAAGAGAUGAAAACCUUGUUUCAUAUGAUGGGUUUUUUUAACAACUAUCAUAGGUAAUACAUUUCAAAUGUUGUCAACUUCUGGGUUGUGAUUUCCUGAAGGAGAUAUUGAGUCUUGAGGGUGGAGCUCUAAUUGAUCGCUGAGGCGAUCCUCUUUGACAGAGUGCAUUGAAUCCAUGCUGUUCAGGACAAAGAAACAAGAAUAACAGCAAUUCUUCCACCAGGAUCACUGUUUGCUAACGAGUCUUAAGGUGGUGCCAUCAAGUAGCAGUACUUUACAUCUAAGCAUCUUUGUGACAGGACUGGACAUGUCUUGUAAAAUCUUUUGUUUCUGUUUUUAGCUAAGGAUAUUGUCUAGGAAGCAGAGCCAGAUUCAUCUCCUGGUUUGUUCCUGGACAGAGUUUUCUAUGGGUAGGAAACUACUGCAACCUUUGCUGAGUCUCUAGCCUGAGCACAUCAGAAACUAGGACCGUGCAGUGAAGAAUUUUCCUCUAGAUGUACUCAACUAAGAAGCUUUUAAUCAGAAAUGUGCUUUUGAAGUGAACUUCCAAGUUCUACCUGUGCUUUAGUUGGUAUCACUGAGCAGGCUUGGAGCUCACAGGUGUGAUACCUUUUUGGAUGAAGCUGGACUUUCUGGUGGACUGUAAGAUGCACUUAAAGAACAAACCUAAUAUGCUCCAGUUGCUAAUGAGUGUUCAGACAAUAGGACCAGACUAGAACUAGUCUGAAGUAACUCCCCCUCUGAAAUGUGUUGGGUGUGGGUGUCUGGUCCUCAGUGUCAGCUGUUUCAUUCUGCACAUCACUCCUCUUGUCUCUGCUGCUUCCCACAGUAGCCACAACCUGGUAAUUUGUGGAAGACAGGAUGUGAGGAUGGAUUUUCUAGAUCCUAAUGCCUGCCUAGAAUCGCAUUCACAGCUACUCCCUCUAAGCCCUUCUUCCAGGCACUGCCAUGGGAAAAAGCCAUUCAGAGCUGACUGAACUAUCUCCAUACUCAAGCAGAAGGUCCAGCUUUGCCCAGAUUUUGUCAUCAGGCUGUACUCUAAGGGGUUUCUAUUUGACUGAUUUAUUUUUUUUUCAUUUUUUUUGAAGACAUGCUUCAAUAUAGCAAUACUAAUGUCAACUGUGGUUACUAGAGAAAUCUUUCUCAUAGAAAAUAUUCAUGUUUUAUGAAUAAUUUAGCUCAUCAAAGGUAACAUAAUAAAAAUAGAUUGCUGCUAUGAGAUCAGUGUCUCCUGCAUUGAAAAUAAUGCAUAGUUUUUACUACAUUUAUUUUUGAGGAUCAUGUUCAGCCAGCAGUAGGAACCAUUACCCUGUGGUACCUUUACAACUGACAGUCUCCUAAUUAUCUUUCCUGGAGAAUCCUAUAAGCUCACUGGCAUUCUAUAAGCAUGUAACUAUUCAGGUUUAGUCUCUUUGUAUGGUAGGGUAGCUUAAAUCUGUUUCAGGAAGUCUUGCAGUUUUUUUGAUGUAUUUCUUCUUUGUCUUGCCACAUUAUAAAUGACGGUUUGGGUUUUUUUUUUUCUUUUUUAAAAUUCUGUCAGCUCUUCUUACUGUCUGUGCCUUCUUACUGCCAUCAGAAUAGGGACACUGUAGAACUGGGAGAUUAAAGAACUUACCUGCUUCCUUAUCACAGCAUUUCCCUGCACAGGAGAAAGAAGUUCAGAAGAUUCGGUGACAGUGUGGGAAGAUACUGAUGAAGCCCAGAGGGAGGGGGAGAGGGAAGCUCAGUAGCAGCUCUGCAGAAAAGAAGGACUGAGGUGUGCUGGAGUGCAUAGAGUAACAGCAGGGAAAGCUGAUGGGGACUGCUCCUGUGCCAAGUCAGUCCACGCAUGGAAGGGUGAGAUAGAUGGAGAAGUAGGGAGCCCUCCAAGCUGUGCUGCCUGCAACAUCUGCCUCUGUGCUGGGCAGGAGCCUAACAGAGCCCAGGGUUAGAUCAGGGCUCUUCAUGCUGCGCUUUGCAUCUCUAUUUAUAGAGGUGACCUGUGUGAGUGCAUGGAUGUGUACGUGGAUGGAAGCAGAGUGAUUCUGUUGCUGACUGCACUUCUGAGCAAAAAUCAUUGUUGAAAACAUGUCUUUUGACAAUAUCCUACCUCCUAAACAUUUUUCACAGUAAAUUUUGCUGAACUGGAUCUGGCUCCCUUGUCAGGUUUUCUGAUGCCAGUUUUAACUGAGAGUUUCAUUUGGCUCAAUAUAGAGGAGCCUGGGCUUUUUAAUGGGAAAAUCUGAGUUCUGUUUUCUGAGGGAGUAUCAGAGCCUGCAGUACCAUUGGUGAUGCAGGCAUGUUCAUUUAGGAGUGCUAUAUCCGAUUCUGCAGCCUGAGGGGACUGAAAAAGGGUGGUGAGGAGGUGUGGAAAUGGAGAUUUGGCACCAAGAUUUUACUUGCUUUUUACUUUGCAUACUCUUGAUUGUUUGCUUUCCCCAAUAUAGUUCUCUUUUUCAGAUUCUGCAGUGUGGCGCUGAUGUGAUUAUGGUUUCCUGAAGGAUUCCCUGUCUUCUCUAGACUACAGUAUUUGUUGCUCAUCGUUCAAAGGCAGAAUGAAAACUUGCUUCUAUGCAUCCUCGGAAUUGCUGGAGGCAUGGCUUUGACCCCAUUAAAUUGCUUGUCCUAAAUCCAGUUGCCACCAAACAGACGGUAUCAGAUUGAUAUAAUUUGAACCCACAAACUCAAGCUUCUUAGCAGCAGCUAAACACUUGCCUCAUAGUGUAGAGAUUACACUAAAAUAAUGGGAACCAAAUUACUCCAAGUUCUUUCCUUGCUUCCACUAGAUUAUUGAAUUAUAUCAACAUGUUUAUAGUGCUUCAGGGAGAAAUGAAUUAGGAGUGAGAUCUACACGCUUGCUUUACAGGGAAGUUUUAUGGGUAGAGACAAGGGAAGCAUUCUCCAAAUGCUAUUAAAAAGAUUUUACUUAAGAUCCCAUAUAUUUUCAGUGUAAUCUAAGAGCUGACCUUGAUUCACACAUAAACCGAUUUGAACUUUGGAACAAUACCUACGUGUGUUCCCUUUUGGGUGAUUGCAGUCUUAAAGCUUAAAAAACUUUCUUAAAGCUAGUUAAAAAAAUCAUAAAAUAUGAUUUGUACAUUUGAUAGAUGAGGAGGAAAUGAAAGACCUAGUGGAGAAUUUAUGGUUUAUUUAUGGCUACUGGUAAAUAACUGCAGGUUUCUACAAUGGACUUAGCCAAUCUUCCCUCUGAACUGUGACAUUCAAGUUGAACAUCCUUUGAUUCAGGAGACCUGUUUCUCUCCUCUGAGAAGUGAAAAUGCCUGAUCAAGUACUAUAGUGAAAGUUUUCUUGCUCUAGUCUCCGAGACAAUGGGUGGUGAUUUAGCUGAACUUUGUUUUAUGCUCUUUUGAAAAGCAAAGUAGUACAUAUUGUUUGUAGUAUAUCCUGGUUUAAAACAGUAGGAGAAAAUGGAUAAAGAUGUUGCUUGAGAGCCCAGGUUAGGGAGCUGGAGGCAGCAACAUUUGCUGCAUGUGUUGUCAUUAGCCUGAGAACACCAGGAGUUGGCUGACAUGGUGCUGACCCCAACUUUAGUCUGUGCAAGCAGCAAAAGGUUGUGCUUAGUGUAGCAGCUACCAUGAUGAAAGGUGAGCGGAGGGACCCUCCAUGCUGAGCUGGCACACUACCAUAGAAAUUUUCAGUGGUCAUCUCUGAAAGGAAAGGAUGUAACUUUUGGGGAGGUUUUAAAUCAAAGCCCUCUGUCUGUUUCUGUGCAUAUUUAGAGUUGUAGCCUGGAGAAUCCAGUCCCUGGGUUCCCAUGGUGUGGAUGCCUUGUGCUUUUUGGUAGUCGUUAGCGCCCAACAGAAAGGGAAGCGACUGCUGAGUGGCAUGAGGUGGUGCCAGGUUCUCUUUUAUUCUGCUGACCUGAGAGACUGCAUCUGCAAGCAGACACAUUCAGAAAACAUUUAGAGGGAAGUAGUAAAUCACAGAUGCUGGCAAUAGUUGUUGUCACAAUGUGUAACCCAAAGAAGUGGGUGAAAGUUUUUAGCAAAGUGGGCAGGUAUCAGUUGGGAUUGGUGGACUGGGGAACUGCUUUUUAGCACAGUUCCUUGACGGGCAGGAUGCUCUAUUUGUAUAAGUGUGUGCCUAUAAAAAUGACAGUAGGACAGAGAAGAAUGGUCAGAAUGGGAUGGCAGACAGUGGACUGUCACUGCAAUUUCAGAAAUACUUGGUGCCAGUGCAGAGGCCUGCCAGUGUGGCUAGCAGCAGAAAGAAAAUGGGGCAGCUAGAAAAAGGGUACAAACCCUUUUCCUCCAUGAGGAGGAAAAGAGUUGGGUGAUGAAAGUCUGGCAAAGGAAGCAAGCAGAGUAUGGCAGGACAGUAACAGUGAUGUAGAAGAGGGCUGAAAAGCACAGCAAAGUCCUGUUGUGUCUAGUGUCUGAGAGUCAUCUGCAUUGCAUGAUCUUAGCUUUUGGUGACUCACUUAGCAAGGACUUCAUUACUAGCUCAGAGCCUUUGCGUUGUUGGAUUUACUAUUUUGAACCUCUCCCUAUCCCUCCACCCCAUUUUCUUUUUCCAUUAAAAAGUCUUCCACCUGCUCUGCAGUGUUCUUUCAGUUGACAUGACAGUCCUGGACUCUGAGUAGGGAUAAAUCUCCAAAGCAGGGAACAAAAAAAGUAGCAAUUCCCCUUAUGGAUCUUAAAAUGGGAUCUUUAAUACUAGAGUGAAAGCCUACCAGUUUCUGAGGUUGUUGGUUGCUUCUAGCAUGACUCUAUUACAUGCUGGUGGAAGUGGACCAGCCAGUGGAAAUGUACUGUCCAAGCCGGUCCAGUUUGGUUUACAGUUUCUUGGUAGAAACACCAAUUUAGGGUAAUCAACCAAUAAGUGAAGAAGUACAAAUCUGUAUCUCCAUGUUGGGAGGACUAGGUGGCCAAAGGUAGAUGGGUGAUCUCUAUUGCAGAGUUGUGAGUGGAUUUGAACGGUACCAGAGUAAGGCUGUAGAUGAAGGGUGGGAUGUGGAUGAUUUAGGCUAUUUUGUGUUGCUUUGUAAAAGCUUAGCUUUUCAUGACUGUUUCUUCCCAAAAUAUAUGACAUUUAUUGUGGGGGAAGAAAGAACUUCUUAUCCUACACUGAGACAGAGAAAUAUAUUGAUGUUUGUUCUUAGCUAUCUAAUCUGGAGUUGAACUGCAUUUCAAAUGUGAAUGGGACAGUCUAUAUGAAGAGAAGGCAAAGGUAACAGCAGCCUCAGUUCCUGGAAGUUAAUGUUUAACCUUGGAGCUCCUCGAGUGAGGAUCAGGUGAAAGGAGAAAAGUCUAAGAAAACAAGAUAGAGAUGCUGAAGAUGGAGUCUGCUAUAAAGAGCGAAGCAAUGAGCUUCAUGGUUGCUGGUCCUGUUGAGGGUAACCUGGCAUUUACAUCCAAGACUUUGUCUUCCAUAAGCCAGAUGACAAACAGAUUUUCUAAAACAAAGCAAAAUUCAUCUUAGCUGGCUUUUAUUCAUUGCUGGUUGCCUGACUCCCUUGAAGAAGAUUUCUGGAGACCAAAAAGCUGCUAUAGGCUUAGUUUGUCUCAAACGACCCAACAGGUACAGCCUAAAGACACUGCACGCAAAGGCGGGGGUACUCAAGGAAUCCAUAUAAAUUUGAGGGCUAUAAGCAAGAAUCUCUGAUAGGAAUCCACACUUCUAGAUUUGUUUUUGUGUUUUUUUUUUUUAAUUUAAAUAAUUAAUUUUGUUACUGAUGCUUUUCAGUGGGCCUCUGCAUGACUAUACUUAGUGUAUACAUUGUUGGGAUUGUUUUUCUCUUUUAUUCUUAUAUGGCAUCUACAUAAGAGCAUCCUUAUAUAACGUCAAGAAUUCAAGAUGCUAUUCUAAUAAAUGGAUCCAAUUUUACUCGUUCAUAGCAUCCCAUCAAAUGACAUCAAACUCAAAUGUUAAACCCUAACAACAAAAGUCAUGGUUAGAGGCUGUGCCAUCUUGGCACAGCCAGUACAGCUGACAAGGCCUUUAACAAUGUAGGAAGACUGUCUUCUAAGUGCUGUGUUAUCUGGGAGCCUCUCUAAAUUGAAGAGAAAAAAAAUACGUAUUUGAACACUUAGUAUUUAAAAGUACCUCAGACUCAACAGAUAAGCUACACUCAUGCUACAGUGAAAUGUCGUGAUGUUUGAUUGUACUGUUGUCUGCAUACAGCUUUUGAUUUGUGUAUCAGUCUUGGAUCAUAUGGUUUUGGGGAGCAGCACUGUGAUUUGAUUCGUGGCUGUGGAGCUCUUAGUACAACAGAAGCCUGGUCCUCACUGUAGUUCCUAGUUGCUACUUAGAUAUGGGUAGAAGAACAGUGAAAACAGGGGGUACAAGGGAAAUAAUUCCAAUUUUGAACUUCUAGAUUCCCUAGAUUUUAAUGAAUCUCUUUACUGUUUUCCUUUUUAAAUUCUUAUGACCAAAAAAAGUAUAAAAUGUUCCUGAAGACAGCAAGGAUUGACCUUAUUUGUGGGGAAUUCUAUGUAUUUACAGAUGCAUCUCAGAUUGCUAGGAAGUGCAAGUGGUGAGCAUAUCUGUAAAAUAACAAGUGUUAAAACAUUAAAAAAAACCUUUCUGCUUCCAAAAUAUUUUAGAAGUUCUUUUAGAAAAACACUUGUAAAAUGCACUUAUAUGACUAUGUGGACAUCUGCUUCAUUUCUUCACUGAUUUUAUGGGAAGCUUUUAAAAAUAAUAAAAUAUGAGAAGUAGAAAUGUUGAUGACUUCUAAGCGACAAGUCAGUUCAUUUUCAUAAUAAUGCUUUGGACUGGUGCCAGAAUAGCUCAUAAUUCAGUGAUCUCUUAAAAUAUUCAAAUUUUUUUUUAAAAAAAGAACAUUAGUUGCAAUUAUUUUUGGAAGUACUUCUGAAAUGGCUGCAUUUAAAGCAUCACCAGAGUGUCUCUCAUCCAUUCACAAUAACGGGAGCAUUGCACUGGUGAAAUUUUUGGUUGUUUUGAAAUUCCAAAAUGAACACCAUGUUGAUGUGUUGGGUUUUGUUUUUAAUAUAAAUACAUUUCAGUGAACCUGAAGUCAAAUUCAAUCAAUUUCUCCAGAUUUAUUCUUAUCAUCCCUGAGAAAUAAUCUAUAUGUUACAUGUUACUUUUUCAUUUUGUUUUGACAGUUCUGUUGUCCAUAAUUGUAACAGAUACUAAGUUGCUGAAAAUAACCCUGUGUAGGUGUAACUUUUUUUUUUUUUCUCAGAUUAAUUUCUGGAUCAAAUAUUCAAAUUUCCUAUUGAGUAAAACUCCUAUGUUCUAAAUAUCAGACUUCUCAGCAGCCAAAAAUUGCUAAAGGAAAAAAAAUUUGCUGAGGUACAAUACCAAUAUGAAUAGCCACAUAAUUCAUUUGUUGAAAAGAACACAUUUUACAAACAUUUGUGUUUUGACCAGUAGUCCAUGAAAUAUAGCAACAAGACCAGCAUAUUUUAUGAUGUGAUUUUAUGCAUCGAAUUCUGCAUUCUCAUCAAAACCCAUUUAUUACCUUUUCAAAUUAUAUUAUACAUUUUUCUUUAUGGAUAAGCAAACAAUAUAUAAAAUUAAUGUUCUAUAAAGUUAUAAACCUUUGCGCUUGUAAAGAAUAAAGGAGUCUAAAAUGUGGAGUUGCAAACAUUCACAUGGUAUUAAUUUGAUUGAAGGUUUACAUUCUUCUUCUUCUGCGGCUCUUAAAAUCUCUUGUCAAGCAGGUUGGCAGUCUUGGUUGCUCACUGUGCAGCUUUCUUGAUGCUCAACCUCUCCUGUCGUCUGCAAAAGAUACUCCCUACUUUGUGUUGCGCUUCACAGGUCCCACAUCACAUUAGUUUUUCACUAUGGAACCAGCAAUUCUUGUUUCUUCUGUAUGGGCUGGGGCAGCUCUUCAGCCGCUGUAAACUCUUAGAGCUCUAGCAAAGCUGGGAGACCUUUCUCACUAAGUCUAUUUAUUUUCAACAGGGAUCUGUUUUAUCUAGCAAAUUUAACUAGCAUCACACAUACUGACCUGCAUGCUUGCUUUUACAAACAAAUAACAGAAAAUGAGAAUCGAUUUCAAUUUUUUACAAUUAUAGUGAAAAAAAAAAUUAUGAAGCAAUAUAUGGGGUUCUUUUGCUAUGCACAGCUUAUUUAAUCUUCCAGCAAAUGUCUCCUCAGAAGCUUAUUUGAAAGGAUAAUUCUAAAAUUCUCAAGGUAAUUCAAAUGAUCAAACUUUAAUCAGUAGUUGUAUCCUGAACCUCUUAGGUGGGGGCAAAUUGAGAGCCCAGCAGCCUUCGUUGGUUGUGCGGGUUCCCAGAAAACUGGCUGGUUUGGCUGCUGAAUUCAGCUGGCUGCUGUGUGCACACAUCCACGUCCUGGCAGACCUUCAGAUCUGAAAAAGCCAGUUCCCGAUGCCUUCUCAGUACCAACAGGUCUGAAACCCAACUGAUGUGAGACUUGGGAUUUGAAAAUACUACAUACAACCAGAGCUUUUUUGCUACUGCAGGAAUCCUGACAAGAGAAUCUGAGAUGGAAAGAGGAACGGAGAUAAGGCUGCUCCCACCUACAAGAUUUUACAAGAUGAGAACAGUAACAGGCACUGGAUCUGCUCCAGUAGAAGGACCUGUAUGAAUACACGCAGAGUACGCACAGGACUGUAUUCUUCCCAAAGGAAAUUAAAAGGGAAUUGUAUUCUUUUCCUUUAGGGUUUUAAUUCCCCUUUUUCCACAAUCGCAAGUCUUAAUGUGAUUUGCCGAGUGCUGGAACUUCUCUAUGUGGAUACGGAGUCCCGUGGCUCCUAAAAGGGGAGAAAUAAGAGCUCCGAGAUCCUGCAGAGGAGGAGGCACCCUCACACAGAAGAGGAGCCGUGUUCCGAUGGCAGCUGCCCCGCUGCCCGACACGCCAGCCUGCCCCCGGCCCCGGGCUGCCCCCCGCCCCCCAGCGCUGCCCGGCGCUCGGAGCCACAGGCGCCCGGCAGAGCCCGGUGGAAGGCAGAGCUGCAGAGCAGCGCCCGCUCCCCCGAGACACCCCCGUAUCCCUCCCGGCUCCCCAGUUCAGGGCCAGGGGUUUAAGGAGCGCAGGCGAUCUCCGCCGGCGGCGUCUACAGCUAUGGACCGUCAGGACAAGGGGCAGGACAGACUGGACGGGACACACGGGGAGCGGACAGCGGGAAAAUAAAGGAUCCUCCUACCCUGAG
This is a long non-coding RNA of Columba livia (rock pigeon), 14899 nucleotides long. RefSeq lists it as uncharacterized. The record is from RefSeq and is a predicted model, not a curated record. The transcript has 3 exons. Lineage: Eukaryota; Metazoa; Chordata; Aves; Columbiformes; Columbidae.